UACUAGAGUGCAUUACUGAU
This 20-nucleotide non-coding RNA is filed under the name Drosophila melanogaster (fruit fly). Lineage: Eukaryota; Metazoa; Arthropoda; Insecta; Diptera; Drosophilidae. The record is from RNAcentral.